ACACCCUCAAGCUUUGCUUGGUGUUGGGCGUCUGUCUACGGACUCGCCUCAAAGGCAUUGGCAGCGGUCCUGUCGGGGCCUCCUAAUCGCGCAGCACUGUUCGCGCUUCUUGGAGCCUGGUACGGGAUUCAGCAUCCAUCAAGCCCUCUUUA
Molecule: unclassified non-coding RNA, 152 nt
Filed under: uncultured Pleosporales
Lineage: Eukaryota; Fungi; Ascomycota; Dothideomycetes; Pleosporales
Description: sequence contains ITS2
Source: RNAcentral